This 2932-nucleotide ribosomal RNA is filed under the name Proteus mirabilis. RNAcentral describes it as "bacterial LSU rRNA". It matches the Rfam family "Bacterial large subunit ribosomal RNA". Lineage: Bacteria; Pseudomonadati; Pseudomonadota; Gammaproteobacteria; Enterobacterales; Morganellaceae. The record is from RNAcentral.
GGGUUGUGAGGUUAAGCGAAUAAGCGUACACGGUGGAUGCCUAGGCAAUCAGAGGCGAUGAAGGACGUGCUAAUCUGCGAAAAGCGUCGGUAAGGUGAUAUGAACCGUUAUACCCGACGAUAUCCGAAUGGGGAAACCCAGUAUCCAAUGGAUACUAUCAUUAACUGAAUCCAUAGGUUAAUGAGGCGAACCGGGAGAACUGAAACAUCUCAGUACCCCGAGGAAAAGAAAUCAACCGAGAUUCCCCUAGUAGCGGCGAGCGAACGGGGAGCAGCCCAGAGUCUUAAUCAAUAACAGUGUCAGGAGAACGGUCUGGAAAGUCCGGCAGUAAAGGGUGAUAGCCCCGUAUCUGAAGAUGCUGUUAUUGUGAACUCGACGAGUAGGGCGGGACACGUGUUAUCCUGUCUGAAUAUGGGGGGACCAUCCUCCAAGGCUAAAUACUCCUGAUUGACCGAUAGUGAACCAGUACCGUGAGGGAAAGGCGAAAAGAACCCCGGCGAGGGGAGUGAAAAAGAACCUGAAACCGUGUACGUACAAGCAGUAGGAGCCUCUUUAUGGGGUGACUGCGUACCUUUUGUAUAAUGGGUCAGCGACUUAUAUUCUGUAGCAAGGUUAACCGUAUAGGGGAGCCGUAGGGAAACCGAGUCUUAACUGGGCGAAUGAGUUGCAGGGUAUAGACCCGAAACCCGGUGAUCUAUCCAUGGGCAGGUUGAAGGUUGGGUAACACUAACUGGAGGACCGAACCGACUAAUGUUGAAAAAUUAGCGGAUGACUUGUGGAUGGGGGUGAAAGGCCAAUCAAACCGGGAGAUAGCUGGUUCUCCCCGAAAGCUAUUUAGGUAGCGCCUCGUGAAUUCAUCUUCGGGGGUAGAGCACUGUUUCGACUAGGGGGUCAUCCCGACUUACCAACUCGAUGCAAACUGCGAAUACCGAAGAAUGUUAUCACGGGAGACACACGGCGGGUGCUAACGUCCGUCGUGAAGAGGGAAACAACCCAGACCGCCAGCUAAGGUCCCAAAGUCAUGGUUAAGUGGGAAACGAAGUGGGAAGGCUCAGACAGCCAGGAUGUUGGCUUAGAAGCAGCCAUCAUUUAAAGAAAGCGUAAUAGCUCACUGGUCGAGUCGGCCCGCGCGGAAGAUGUAACGGGGCUAAACCAUGCACCGAAGCUGCGGCAGCGACACAAAGUGUUGUUGGGUAGGGGAGCGUUCUGUAAGCCUGCGAAGGUGUACUGUGAGGUAUGCUGGAGGUAUCAGAAGUGCGAAUGCUGACAUAAGUAACGAUAAUGCGGGUGAAAAACCCGCACGCCGGAAGACCAAGGGUUCCUGUCCAACGUUAAUCGGGGCAGGGUGAGUCGACCCCUAAGGCGAGGCUGAAAAGCGUAGUCGAUGGGAAACGGGUUAAUAUUCCCGUACUGGUGGUAACUGCGAUGGGGGAACGGAGAAGGCUAGGUUGUCCGGGCGACGGUCGUCCCGGUUCAAGCAGGUAGGCAGAGUGAUUAGGCAAAUCCGGUCACUUAAUGCUGAGAUGUGAUGACGAACCACCAAGGUGGUGAAGCAAUUGAUGCCCCGCUUCCAGGAAAAGCCUCUAAGCUUCAGGUUACCAACAAUCGUACCCCAAACCGACACAGGUGGUCAGGUAGAGAAUACUCAGGCGCUUGAGAGAACUCGGGUGAAGGAACUAGGCAAAAUGGUGCCGUAACUUCGGGAGAAGGCACGCUGGCGGUAGGUAAAGUCCCUCGCGGACGGCGCUGAAGCCAGUCGAAGAUACCAGCUGGCUGCAACUGUUUAUUAAAAACACAGCACUGUGCAAACACGAAAGUGGACGUAUACGGUGUGACGCCUGCCCGGUGCUGGAAGGUUAAUUGAUGGGGUCAGCCGCAAGGCGAAGCUCCUGAUCGAAGCCCCAGUAAACGGCGGCCGUAACUAUAACGGUCCUAAGGUAGCGAAAUUCCUUGUCGGGUAAGUUCCGACCUGCACGAAUGGCGUAAUGAUGGCCAGGCUGUCUCCACCCGAGACUCAGUGAAAUUGAACUCGCUGUGAAGAUGCAGUGUACCCGCGGCAAGACGGAAAGACCCCGUGAACCUUUACUAUAGCUUGACACUGAACAUUGAGCCUUGAUGUGUAGGAUAGGUGGGAGGCUUUGAAGUGUGGACGCCAGUCUGCAUGGAGCCAACCUUGAAAUACCACCCUUUAACGUUUGAUGUUCUAACCUAGGCCCAUAAACUGGGUCGGGGACCGUGUCUGGUGGGUAGUUUGACUGGGGCGGUCUCCUCCUAAAGAGUAACGGAGGAGCACGAAGGUUGGCUAAGCAUGGUCGGACAUCAUGCGGUUAGUGCAAAGGCAUAAGCCAGCUUGACUGCGAGAGUGACGGCUCGAGCAGGUACGAAAGUAGGUCUUAGUGAUCCGGUGGUUCUGAAUGGAAGGGCCAUCGCUCAACGGAUAAAAGGUACUCCGGGGAUAACAGGCUGAUACCGCCCAAGAGUUCAUAUCGACGGCGGUGUUUGGCACCUCGAUGUCGGCUCAUCACAUCCUGGGGCUGAAGUAGGUCCCAAGGGUAUGGCUGUUCGCCAUUUAAAGUGGUACGCGAGCUGGGUUUAGAACGUCGUGAGACAGUUCGGUCCCUAUCUGCCGUGGGCGUUGGAAGAUUGAGAGGGGUUGCUCCUAGUACGAGAGGACCGGAGUGAACGCACCACUGGUGUUCGGGUUGUCAUGCCAAUGGCAUUGCCCGGUAGCUAAGUGCGGAAGAGAUAACCGCUGAAAGCAUCUAAGCGGGAAACUUGCCUCGAGAUGAGUCUUCCCUGUCGCUUUAAGCGACCUAAAGGAACGUUUAAGACUAAGACGUUGAUAGGCUGGGUGUGUAAGCGUAGCGAUACGUUGAGCUAACCAGUACUAAUGAACCGUGAGGCUUAACCUGACAACACCGAAAGUGUUUUG